CAGUAGCCGCGGGAAUACGUAGGGUGCGAGCGUUAAUCGGAAUUACUGGGCGUAAAGCGUGCGCAGGCGGUUGUGUAAGACAGGUGUGAAAUCCCCGGGCUUAACCUGGGAGCUGCGCUUGUGACUGCACAGCUAGAGUAUGGCAGAGGGGGGUGGAAUUCCACGUGUAGCAGUGAAAUGCGUAGAGAUGUGGAGGAACACCGAUGGCGAAGGCAGCCCCCUGGGCCAAUACUGACGCUCAUGCACGAAAGCGUGGGGAGCAAACAGGAUUAGAUACCCGCGUAGUCCCUGUCUCUUAUAC
Molecule: ribosomal RNA, 301 nt
Filed under: uncultured bacterium
Lineage: Bacteria
Description: partial 16S ribosomal RNA
Rfam family: Bacterial small subunit ribosomal RNA
Source: RNAcentral